GAUGAACGCUGGCGGCGUGCUUAACACAUGCAAGUCGAACGGAAAGGCCCAAGCUUGCUUGGGUACUCGAGUGGCGAACGGGUGAGUAACACGUGGGUGAUCUGCCCUGCACUUCGUGAUAAGCCUGGGAAACUGGGUCUCAUACCGGAUAGGACCUCUUCUUGGAUGUUGUGGUGGAAAGAUUUUUCGGUGUGGUAUGAGCUCGCGGCCUAUCCGCUUGUUGGUGGGGUAAUGGUCUACCAAGGCGUCGACGGGUAGCCGGCCUGAGAGGGUGAACGGCCACAUUGGGACUGAGGUACGGCCCAGACUCCUACGGGAGGCAGCAGUGGGGAAUAUUGCACAAUGGGCGCAAGCCGGAUGCAGCGACGCCGCGUGGGGGAUGACGGCCUUCGGGUUGUAAACUACUUUCGCUAGGGACGAAGCGUUUUGUGACGGUACCUGGAGAAGAAGCACCGGCUAACUACGUG
Molecule: ribosomal RNA, 467 nt
Filed under: uncultured bacterium
Lineage: Bacteria
Description: partial 16S ribosomal RNA
Rfam family: Bacterial small subunit ribosomal RNA
Source: RNAcentral